ACAGUCCUACGGGGGGCAGCAGUGGGGAAUAUUGCGCAAUGGGGGAAACCCUGACGCAGCAACGCCGCGUGCGGGAUGACGGCCUUCGGGUUGUAAACCGCUUUCAGCAGGGAAGAACAUCGACGGUACCUGCAGAAGAAGCCCCGGCUAACUACGUGCCAGCAGCCGCGGUAAUACGUAGGGGGCGAGCGUUAUCCGGAUUCAUUAGGCGUAAAGCGCGCGUAGGCGGGGGCCUAAGCGGGACCUCUAAACUCGGGGCUCAACCCCGAGCCGGGGCCCGAACUGGGCGCCUCGAGGGCGGUAGG
Molecule: ribosomal RNA, 305 nt
Filed under: uncultured bacterium
Lineage: Bacteria
Description: bacterial SSU rRNA
Rfam family: Bacterial small subunit ribosomal RNA
Source: RNAcentral